RNAcentral lists this ribosomal RNA (341 nucleotides) under uncultured Coriobacteriales bacterium. Its description in RNAcentral is "partial 16S ribosomal RNA". Lineage: Bacteria; Bacillati; Actinomycetota; Coriobacteriia; Coriobacteriales. The record is from RNAcentral.
GGAGUCUGGUCCGUGUCUCAGUCCCAAUGUGGCCGAUCACCCUCUCAGGUCGGCUACUGAUCGUCGCCUUGGUGGGCCGUUACCUCACCAACUAGCUAAUCAGACGCGAGCCCACCCCAUACCGGAUCUCUCCUUUGACCCCUCAGCCAUGUGGCUCUGUGGUCUCAUGCGGUAUUAGAACACCUUUCGGUAUCUUAUCCCCCUGUAUGGGACAGGUUGCUCACGCGUUGCUCACCCGUCCGCCGCUAAAACAGUUUCAAGCAAGCUCUCCACUGUCUCCGCUCGACUUGCAUGUGUUAGGCACGCCGCCAGCGUUCGUCCUGAGCCACUGAUCAAACUCU